GAUGAACGCUCGCGGCAGGCCUAACACAUGCAAGUCGAGGGAUAAGCCUUCGGGCUCAGCCCGGCGUACGGGUGCGUAACGCGUAUACACACUUCCUUUUAUCCCGGGUAUAGCCCGAAGAAAUUUGGAUUAAUACCCUAUGUUACAAGAGCACGGCCUCGUUCACUUAUUAAAGCUACGGCGGUAAAAGAUGAGUAUGUGUUCUAUUAGCUAGUUGGAGUGCUAACGGCUCGCUAAGGCGUCGAUAGAUAGGGGUUCUGAGAGGGAUGUCCCCCACAGUGGUACUGAGAUACUGGCCACAGUGCUACGGGAGGCAGGAGUAAGGGAUAUUGGACAAUGGUCGGUAGACUGAUCCGGCCAUGCCGGAUGCAGGAUGACGGCCUUAUGGAUUAUAAACUUCUUUUGGAAAGCAAGAAUAAGGAGUACGGGUACAUUAAUGACGGUAACGUAUAAAUAAGCAUCGGCUAACUCCGUG
Molecule: ribosomal RNA, 475 nt
Filed under: uncultured bacterium
Lineage: Bacteria
Description: partial 16S ribosomal RNA
Rfam family: Bacterial small subunit ribosomal RNA
Source: RNAcentral